AAAAAAUAAAAUGCUCCGCUGGGGCGCAGCUUGAUACGACCGCAGAGGUCGAACCCCUGAACAGUUGGGGCAAGUAUGGACACAACAUUCAAGCUUGAUACAGCACUGAAUUUGGAUUGUAAUUAAAUAUUUGACACAGCAUAGGU
Long non-coding RNA from Mytilus californianus (California mussel), 146 nucleotides. RefSeq lists it as uncharacterized. NCBI's taxonomy places the organism in Eukaryota, Metazoa, Mollusca, Bivalvia, Mytilida, Mytilidae. The transcript has 2 exons. The record is from RefSeq and is a predicted model, not a curated record.